This 69-nucleotide transfer RNA is filed under the name Caudoviricetes sp. RNAcentral describes it as "tRNA-Ser". The record is from RNAcentral. Lineage: Duplodnaviria; Heunggongvirae; Uroviricota; Caudoviricetes.
UAGGGGUUAGUUCAAUUGGUAGAAUACUGCACGGCUAGGAGAUUGUGGUUCGAGUCCGCAACCCCGUGA